This 73-nucleotide transfer RNA is filed under the name Marmota monax (woodchuck). RNAcentral describes it as "tRNA.Ala". The record is from RNAcentral. Lineage: Eukaryota; Metazoa; Chordata; Mammalia; Rodentia; Sciuridae.
AGGGAUGUAGCUCAGUGGUAACGUAUGUGCUUAGCAUGCACAGAUCCCUGGGUUCCAUCCCCCAGCACCAUUA